This 750-nucleotide ribosomal RNA is filed under the name uncultured Eubacteriales bacterium. RNAcentral describes it as "bacterial SSU rRNA". It matches the Rfam family "Bacterial small subunit ribosomal RNA", at positions 28 to 776 of the family's 1533-position model. The record is from RNAcentral. Lineage: Bacteria; Bacillati; Bacillota; Clostridia; Eubacteriales.
GAUGAACGCGGGCGGCGUGCCUAACACAUGCAAGUCGAACGGAGAUUAUUCGCUGCGGAGCCUUCGGGCGAAGCUUGAAUGAUCUUAGUGGCGGACGGGUGAGUAACGCGUGGGCAACCUGCCUUGCACAGGGGGAUAGCAGUUGGAAACGACUGGUAAUACCGCAUAUCUUAGAGAGACCGCAUGAUCUUUUUAAGAAAACGUUAGUGGUGCAAGAUGGGCCCGCGUCCGAUUAGAUAGUUGGUGGGGUAACGGCCUACCAAGUCGACGAUCGGUAGCCGACCUAAGAGGGCGGACGGCCACAUUGGGACUGAGACACGGCCCAGACUCCUACGGGAGGCAGCAGUGGGGAAUAUUGCACAAUGGAGGGAACUCUGAUGCAGCGACGCCGCGUGAGUGAAGAAGUAUUUCGGUAUGUAAAGCUCUAUCAGUAGGGAAGAUAAUGACGGUACCUACAUAAGAAGCCCCGGCUAAAUACGUGCCAGCAGCCGCGGUAAUACGUAUGGGGCAAGCGUUAUCCGGAUUUACUGGGUGUAAAGGGAGCGUAGGCGGCAGUACAAGUCGGGAGUGAAAACUCGGGGCUCAACCCCGAGACUGCUCUCGAAACUGUACAGCUAGAGUGCAGGAAGGGCAGGCGGAAUUCCUGGUGUAGCGGUGAAAUGCGUAGAUAUCAGGAGGAACACCGGUGGCGAAGGCGGCCUGCUGGACUGUAACUGACGCUGAGGCUCGAAAGCGUGGGGAGCGAACAGG